This is a non-coding RNA of Otolemur garnettii (small-eared galago), 74 nucleotides long. The record is from Rfam. Lineage: Eukaryota; Metazoa; Chordata; Mammalia; Primates; Galagidae.
CUGCCUGUGGCUCAAAGGAGUAGGGCACUGGCCUGAUAUGCCAGAGGUAGCAGGUUCAAACCCAGCCUGGCCAA